This 465-nucleotide ribosomal RNA is filed under the name Vreelandella stevensii. Its description in RNAcentral is "partial 16S ribosomal RNA". It matches the Rfam family "Bacterial small subunit ribosomal RNA", at positions 338 to 795 of the family's 1533-position model. The record is from RNAcentral. Lineage: Bacteria; Pseudomonadati; Pseudomonadota; Gammaproteobacteria; Oceanospirillales; Halomonadaceae.
CCUACGGGUGGCUGCAGUGGGGAAUAUUGGACAAUGGGGGCAACCCUGAUCCAGCCAUGCCGCGUGUGUGAAGAAGGCCCUCGGGUUGUAAAGCACUUUCAGUGAGGAAGAACGCCUGGUGGUUAAUACCCAUCAGGAAAGACAUCACUCACAGAAGAAGCACCGGCUAACUCCGUGCCAGCAGCCGCGGUAAUACGGAGGGUGCGAGCGUUAAUCGGAAUUACUGGGCGUAAAGCGCGCGUAGGUGGCUUGAUAAGCCGGUUGUGAAAGCCCCGGGCUCAACCUGGGAACGGCAUCCGGAACUGUCAAGCUAGAGUGCAGGAGAGGAAGGUAGAAUUCCCGGUGUAGCGGUGAAAUGCGUAGAGAUCGGGAGGAAUACCAGUGGCGAAGGCGGCCUUCUGGACUGCAACUGACACUGAGGUGCGAAAGCGUGGGUAGCAAACAGGAUUAGAUACCCUUGUAGUC